GACCUGCGGAAGGAUCAUUAAAAAGGAUGCUGGGAAACCGGCAUACCCCCACCCGUGUCUACCUACUUAGGUUGCUUUGGCAGGCCGUGGCCUCCACUGUGGGCUCUGCCUGCACGUGCCUGCCAGAGGGUCAAACUCUUAAGUAUUAGUAAUGUCUGAGCACUAUUUAAUAGUUAAAAACUUUCAACAACGGAUCUCUUGGUUCUGGCAUCGAUGAAGAACGCAGCGAAAUGCGAUAAGUAAUGUGAAUUGCAGAAUUCAGUGAAUCAUCGAAUCUUUGAACGCACAUUGCGCCCUGUGGUAUUCCGCGGGGCAUGCCUGUUCGAGCGUCAUUAUCACCACUCAAGCCCGGCUGGCUUGGUCUUGGGGCCCGCAGUUCUGCGGCCCCUAAAAUCAGUGGCGGUGCCGGUGGGCUCUAAGCGUAGUAAAUCUCCUCGCUAUUGAGUUCCCCUGGUGGCCUGCUAGAACCCCCCAUUAUUUUAGGGUUGACCUCGGAUCAGGUAGGGAUACCCGCUGAACUUAAGCAUAUCAA
RNAcentral lists this small RNA (532 nucleotides) under Helotiales sp. 13-2-5(GS). RNAcentral's name for it is "eukaryotic LSU rRNA". The stretch from base 179 to 332 matches the Rfam family "5.8S ribosomal RNA". The record is from RNAcentral. Lineage: Eukaryota; Fungi; Ascomycota; Leotiomycetes; Helotiales.